UACUUUCAGGGUACCAUCAAUCCCGGCGACCGGGAUAUUUUUCCCCUGCUACAGCGGUUUACGACCCAUAAGGCCUUCAUCCCGCACGCGGCGUUGCUGCGUCAGACUUUCGUCCAUUGCGCAAUAUCCCUCA
RNAcentral lists this ribosomal RNA (133 nucleotides) under uncultured bacterium. Its description in RNAcentral is "partial 16S ribosomal RNA". The record is from RNAcentral.